RNAcentral lists this ribosomal RNA (848 nucleotides) under Salmonella enterica subsp. enterica serovar Hvittingfoss. RNAcentral describes it as "partial 23S ribosomal RNA". It matches the Rfam family "Bacterial large subunit ribosomal RNA", at positions 2074 to 2916 of the family's 2925-position model. The record is from RNAcentral. Lineage: Bacteria; Pseudomonadati; Pseudomonadota; Gammaproteobacteria; Enterobacterales; Enterobacteriaceae.
GGCAAGACGGAAAGACCCCGUGAACCUUUACUAUAGCUUGACACUGAACAUUGAGCCUUGAUGUGUAGGAUAGGUGGGAGGCUUUGAAGCGUGGACGCCAGUCUGCGUGGAGCCGACCUUGAAAUACCACCCUUUAAUGUUUGAUGUUCUAACGUGGACCCGUAAUCCGGGUUGCGGACAGUGUCUGGUGGGUAGUUUGACUGGGGCGGUCUCCUCCUAAAGAGUAACGGAGGAGCACGAAGGUUGGCUAAUCCUGGUCGGACAUCAGGAGGUUAGUGCAAUGGCAUAAGCCAGCUUGACUGCGAGCGUGACGGCGCGAGCAGGUGCGAAAGCAGGUCAUAGUGAUCCGGUGGUUCUGAAUGGAAGGGCCAUCGCUCAACGGAUAAAAGGUACUCCGGGGAUAACAGGCUGAUACCGCCCAAGAGUUCAUAUCGACGGCGGUGUUUGGCACCUCGAUGUCGGCUCAUCACAUCCUGGGGCUGAAGUAGGUCCCAAGGGUAUGGCUGUUCGCCAUUUAAAGUGGUACGCGAGCUGGGUUUAGAACGUCGUGAGACAGUUCGGUCCCUAUCUGCCGUGGGCGCUGGAGAACUGAGGGGGGCUGCUCCUAGUACGAGAGGACCGGAGUGGACGCAUCACUGGUGUUCGGGUUGUCAUGCCAAUGGCACUGCCCGGUAGCUAAAUGCGGAAGAGAUAAGUGCUGAAAGCAUCUAAGCACGAAACUUGCCCCGAGAUGAGUUCUCCCUGAGACUUAGAGUCUCCUGAAGGAACGUUGAAGACGACGACGUUGAUAGGCCGGGUGUGUAAGCGCAGCGAUGCGUUGAGCUAACCGGUACUAAUGAACCGUGAGG